GUACCUACGGGGGGCAGCAGUAGGAAAUCUUCGGCAAUGGGGGCAACCCUGACCGAGCAACGCCGCGUGAGUGAAGAAGGUUUUCGGAUCGUAAAGCUCUGUUGUAAGAGAAGAACGUGUGUGAGAGUGGAAAGUUCACACAGUGACGGUAACUUACCAGAAAGGGACGGCUAACUACGUGCCAGCAGCCGCGGUAAUACGUAGGUCCCGAGCGUUAUCCGGAUUUAUUGGGCGUAAAGCGAGCGCAGGCGGUUGGAUAAGUCUUAAGGUAAAGGCGGGGGCUUAAACAUAGGAUGCUUUGGAAA
RNAcentral lists this ribosomal RNA (305 nucleotides) under uncultured bacterium. RNAcentral's name for it is "bacterial SSU rRNA". It matches the Rfam family "Bacterial small subunit ribosomal RNA", at positions 335 to 632 of the family's 1533-position model. The record is from RNAcentral.